UUGUAGCAUACAAGGCAUACGGCUCAGUAACGCGUAGUCAACCUAACCUAUGGACGGGAAUAACCUCGGGAAACUGAGAAUAAUGCCCGAUAGAACACUAUACCUGGAAUGGUUUGUGUUCCAAAUGAUUUAUCGCCAUAGGAUGGGACUGCGGCCUAUCAGUUUGUUGGUGAGGUAAUGGCCCACCAAGACUAUUACAGGUACGGGCUCUGAGAGGAGUAGCCCGGAGAUGGGUACUGAGACACGGACCCAGGCCCUAUGGGGCGCAGCAGGCGAGAAAACUUUGCAAUGUGCGAAAGCACGACAAGGUUAAUCCGAGUGAUUUGUGCUAAACGAAUCUUUUGUUAGUCCUAGAAACACUAACGAAUAAGGGGUGGGCAAGUUCUGGUGUCAGCCGCCGCGGUAAAACCAGCACCUCAAGUGGUCAGGAUGAUUAUUGGGCCUAAAGCAUCCGUAGCCGGCUCUGUAAGUUUUCGGUUAAAUCUGUACGCUUAACGUACAGGCUGCCGGGAAUACUGCAAAGCUAGGGAGUGGGAGAGGUAGACGGUACUCGGUAGGAAGUGGUAAAAUGCUUUGAUCUAUCGAUGACCACCUGUGGCGAACGCGGUCUACCAGAACACGUCCGACGGUGAGGGAUGAAAGCUAGGGGAGCAACCGGAUUAGAUACCUGGUAGUCCCAGCUGUAACUAUGCAAGCUUCAGUUGAUGCAUGACUUUGUUGUCUGACUGCAGUCCUUGCCAA
RNAcentral lists this ribosomal RNA (741 nucleotides) under uncultured archaeon. RNAcentral's name for it is "bacterial SSU rRNA". It matches the Rfam family "Archaeal small subunit ribosomal RNA", at positions 62 to 810 of the family's 1478-position model. The record is from RNAcentral.